This 484-nucleotide ribosomal RNA is filed under the name uncultured bacterium. Its description in RNAcentral is "partial 16S ribosomal RNA". It matches the Rfam family "Bacterial small subunit ribosomal RNA", at positions 30 to 507 of the family's 1533-position model. The record is from RNAcentral.
AUUGAACGCUGGCGGCGGGCCUAACACAUGCAAGUCGAGCGGAUGAAGGGAGCUUGCUCCUGGAUUCAGCGGCGGACGGGUGAGUAAUGCCUAGGAAUCUGCCUGGUAGUGGGGGAUAACGUCCGGAAACGGGCGCCAAUACCGCAUACGUCCUGAGGGAGAAAGUGGGGGAUCUUCGGACCUCACGCUAUCAGAUGAGCCUAGGUCGGAUUAGCUAGUUGGUGGGGUAAAGGCCUACCAAGGCGACGAUCCGUAACUGGUCUGAGAGGAUGAUCAGUCACACUGGAACUGAGACACGGUCCAGACUCCUACGGGAGGCAGCAGUGGGGAAUAUUGGACAAUGGGCGAAAGCCUGAUCCAGCCAUGCCGCGUGUGUGAAGAAGGUCUUCGGAUUGUAAAGCACUUUAAGUUGGGAGGAAGGGCAGUAAGUUAAUACCUUGCUGUUUUGACGUUACCAACAGAAUAAGCACCGGCUAACUUCGUG